This 860-nucleotide ribosomal RNA is filed under the name uncultured bacterium. Its description in RNAcentral is "bacterial SSU rRNA". It matches the Rfam family "Bacterial small subunit ribosomal RNA", at positions 52 to 925 of the family's 1533-position model. The record is from RNAcentral.
CACAUGCAAGUCGAACGAGCGAGAGAGAGCUUGCUUUCUCGAGCGAGUGGCGAACGGGUGAGUAACGCGUGAGGAACCUGCCUCAAAGAGGGGGACAACAGUUGGAAACGACUGCUAAUACCGCAUAAGCCCACGGUGCCGCAUGGCACUGAGGGAAAAGGAUUUAUUCGCUUUAGGAUGGACUCGCGUCCAAUUAGCUAGUUGGUGAGGUAACGGCCCACCAAGGCGACGAUUGGUAGCCGGACUGAGAGGUUGAACGGCCACAUUGGGACUGAGACACGGCCCAGACUCCUACGGGAGGCAGCAGUGGGGGAUAUUGCACAAUGGGGGAAACCCUGAUGCAGCGACGCCGCGUGGAGGAAGAAGGUUUUCGGAUUGUAAACUCCUGUCGUUAGGGACGAUAAUGACGGUACCUAACAAGAAAGCACCGGCUAACUACGUGCCAGCAGCCGCGGUAAAACGUAGGGUGCAAGCGUUGUCCGGAAUUACUGGGUGUAAAGGGAGCGCAGGCGGGAAGACAAGUUGGAAGUGAAAACCAUGGGCUCAACCCAUGAAUUGCUUUCAAAACUGCUGGCCUUGAGUAGUGCAGAGGUAGGUGGAAUUCCCGGUGUAGCGGUGGAAUGCGUAGAUAUCGGGAGGAACACCAGUGGCGAAGGCGGCCUACUGGGCACCAACUGACGCUGAGGCUCGAAAGUGUGGGUAGCAAACAGGAUUAGAUACCCUGGUAGUCCACACCGUAAACGAUGAUUACUAGGUGUUGGAGGAUUGACCCCUUCAGUGCCGCAGUUAACACAAUAAGUAAUCCACCUGGGGAGUACGACCGCAAGGUUGAAACUCAAAGGAAUUGACGGGGGCCCGCA